AGCUUCAGGGCUUGUUUUGAAGCCUCACCAUAGACACUGAAGACCAGCUUUCUUUGGCCACUCCCCUGCUCUGCUGACUGUGUGUGAAUACACACACACUCACUCACUCCCACUUCCAGUACACAGUGUCCCCAUUUGCCUGAGGGACAUGUGUUCCAAGACCCCAGGGGACACCGGAGACCGCAGAGUCUCACUAUGUAGUCCAGGCUGGCCUCAAACUUGUGGCAAUCCUCCUGCCUCGGCCUCACAAGUGCUGGAAUUACAGAAAUGUGUCACCAUGCCCAGCAAAGUCUUUGUUUCUAGCACUACUACCAGCAACACCAUAACAAAAAGAAGAAUGAACUGAAAAUCACCUCUUCUUUGAAGAAAGAAAUCUUCAAUACUAAAUAGACUUCAAUACCAAUAGAAAUCUUCAAAACUAAAAAGGAAAGGGAAGAGAGAACCAAAAUAUGGAACAGUAUCUCCAAGAACUGUAGGACAAUUCCAAAAUGUCUAGGUAUGUGUCGUGAGAACACCAGAAGAAGAGAGAGAAAGAAACAGAAAAAAAUCCUUGACGCAUUAGUGACUGUGAAUUUCUGAGAAUUAAUACUAAACUGCAAACCACAGAUCCAGGAAGCUCAGAGAACACCAAGCAGGAUGAAUACCAAACUGAUAAGUGAGCCUUUGGAAUUGCUCAGUACAGCUGAGUUGGGGGAAGUCACCCACCAUCACAGGCUGUGUGUGUUGUCAUCAUCUGAGUGGGAGGUGGCAGAGGAGAGCAAUGAGGGUCUGGUGGACUCAAUGGGGCCAACAGGUGACCUGCCC
Molecule: long non-coding RNA, 804 nt
Filed under: Heterocephalus glaber (naked mole-rat)
Lineage: Eukaryota; Metazoa; Chordata; Mammalia; Rodentia; Bathyergidae
Description: lncRNA (ENSHGLG00100037560.1)
Source: RNAcentral